AUUGAACGCCGGCGGCAGGCCUAACACAUGCAAGUCGAGCGGAUGAAGGGAGCUUGCUCCUGGAUUCAGCGGCGGACGGGUGAGUAAUGCCUAGGAAUCUGCCUGGUAGUGGGGGAUAACGUCCGGAAACGGGCGCUAAUACCGCAUACGUCCUGAGGGAGAAAGUGGGGGAUCUUCGGACCUCACGCUAUCAGAUGAGCCUAGGUCGGAUUAGCUAGUUGGUGGGGUAAAGGCCUACCAAGGCGACGAUCCGUAACUGGUCUGAGAGGAUGAUCAGUCACACUGGAACUGAGACACGGUCCAGACUCCUACGGGAGGCAGCAGUGGGGAAUAUUGGACAAUGGGCGAAAGCCUGAUCCAGCCAUGCCGCGUGUGUGAAGAAGGUCUUCGGAUUGUAAAGCACUUUAAGUUGGGAGGAAGGGCAGUAAGUUAAUACCUUGCUGUUUGGACGUUACCAACAGAAGAAGCACCGGCUAACUUCGU
This 483-nucleotide ribosomal RNA is filed under the name uncultured bacterium. Its description in RNAcentral is "partial 16S ribosomal RNA". It matches the Rfam family "Bacterial small subunit ribosomal RNA", at positions 30 to 506 of the family's 1533-position model. The record is from RNAcentral.